Molecule: long non-coding RNA, 978 nt
Filed under: Equus caballus (horse)
Lineage: Eukaryota; Metazoa; Chordata; Mammalia; Perissodactyla; Equidae
Description: lncRNA (ENSECAG00000054980.1)
Source: RNAcentral
GUACUUUCCCUCUUCCUUCUGAGGUUGCUGUCCAGCCCAACGCCUGUCCGGAGUCGGGCUUACCUGCCGCUCCUUUCCCGGGAGAACUGGUGUCCGGUGUAAAGAGCGACCGGCGAACGCGCUCCCGGCCCGGUGAAAAGUGCUAAUUACCGAGGAGCGGCUGGGAGCGGACGGCGCGGGGAGCUGAGGUUCCCCAGGGGUGGGGGUCUUUUACCUCAAGGGGAUCGGCCCCGGGGGAUUGGAAGAGAGAAGGGGUAUCCCCAUCCUUGAGCGCCUGGAUAGAAAACCCUGCCCAGGGCUGAGAUCUUUGGGAGACGCUGCUGCUCGCCCCAACCAAACUUUUCUAGGACACACAUCCCUGCCGAAAACGAAUUUAGACGCGGUGUCCACGUUUGGCAAGGAAUUGUUGCAGAGGAAGGCUGUGGUCCUUAAUCCCUCAGAACAGAUACCUCACAAGGCUCUAAGCAGUUCGUGUAAACACAAAGGUUGUGCGCAAAUCACACUUGAAAUACAUCAGAGACACCCCCACCCCCUCCCCCAGAACUCCCAACUGUCUGCGAGUCAGAAAAGGACCCGAUCAAACUCAGGACGACAGGCGCUUCACCUCUCCAGAGCGCAGCAGAAUCCCGACCAGCCGCACCAGCCCCGGCGAACCAGAGCAUGUUAAUCUAUUUAUAUGGAUUAUUACAGAGGAGCAGCGGGCGUUGAGUCACCAAAACAUUUGCUUCAAAAGACCAUUUCUAAGCACUUUCGGAGGAGGCAGGCUCCAGACGCGUAAACUGGGCUACGCACUAACGAGCGACGGCUUUUCCAAUACUGCAAACUCCAGCUAAGUCUCCGGUACCGCGGAGAAAGCAGUGGAAAGAACUGCUCGGGAGUGGGAGUAGAUCCUAGUCUAGACACACACACACACGCACACACACACGCAAAGAUUCCCGCGGAGACGGCACCAAAAUUCUGACAUUACGAGAGUACGGC